GAUCCUGGCUCAGGAUGAACGCUAGCGACAGGCUUAACACAUGCAAGUCGAGGGGCAUCAUGAGGUAGCAAUACUCCGCCGGCGACCGGCGCACGGGUGCGUAACGCGUAUGCAACCUACCUUUAACAGGGGCAUAACACUGAGAAAUUGGUACUAAUUCCCCAUAACAUUCGAGAAGGCAUCUUCUUGGGUUAAAAACUCCGGUGGUUAAAGAUGGGCAUGCGUUGUAUUAGCUAGUUGGUGAGG
This 246-nucleotide ribosomal RNA is filed under the name uncultured bacterium. Its description in RNAcentral is "partial 16S ribosomal RNA". It matches the Rfam family "Bacterial small subunit ribosomal RNA", at positions 15 to 257 of the family's 1533-position model. The record is from RNAcentral.